GGGGGGGGGGUCUGUCCAGAGCGUCCACAGUGGUUGGCGACAGAACCGAAGAAUGAAGACUGGAAUACAUUAAAUAUCUGGGUGUAAUUUAAAAAUAAAGUACUAGACCAAAUGCUAAUGGAUCUAAAUUCUUUGUAACCUAACGUUGAAACAUUUCUGAAAAUUAGCUGCUAAAAUCCUUAAUCCGUUUAGUGAAAUGCUUCUAGACCUGAAAUUGAGACGUAGUCUAUAAGAGCGGAGCGAACUACAACAAUGUGGUAGCCUCCACAAUUAAAUACAAGUACCCGGCGGAGCAUAGGCCUAAAUAUUCAAGAUUUGCUAGCAUUUCACAGGCUACCAAAUGAAAUGGAUACAGCAAAACGUAAAGCUGGCUACUAGUUGGUUAAAGACCAGUUUAUAGUUCAGCGAUGUAUGAUCAGACGAUGAAUAUCGCUACAGUGUCCCCAAAAAUCCAUUAUCGCUCGACAUUUGAACGCUGUUGCUUAAAAAAAAAGUACAGGAAGGUAGCUAUUUAUGCCAAUAUCUGUCGCCUAUAUGUCCAGCCGACAUUACGUUUAUUUUAAAGUUGGCCUACAUUUGCCUACAUUUAAGUCGACCGUUUUAUGAAAACUGAAUUGGCCCAUUUAUUAGCAGGAAAUAGCCUACCUAAAGUAUUUAGGCUACUGAAACUACCCUAUAGGCUACCAUUUAGGCUACAUUUUGUAUCAUAAACUGGUGAACAGCACUCAUCAGACAAAUUCGCACCUUUUUUGUCUCCUGCUGUAAUUAUCUUUGAAAAUUACACCCACGAGCAAAAUAAAGAUAUGCCUACUCACCCUAGCGUCUACCUACUGAUUUGUCUGUGAACCGUACUGAAGGCUAUGACCAUAAAAAUGGUCACUUUCUUUUGGAUUGUUGUAGCUGUAGGCGACAUAUUGUUAUGCGCAUGAAAAAAUAAAGUGAGACCUGUUCCUGGGGUGACAUGGCUCAGGCAGUAAGAGCAGUCGUCUGGCAGUCUGAGGGUUGCCGGUUCGAUCCCCCGCCCGGGCUGUGUCGAAGUGUCCCUGAGCAAGACACCUAACCCCCAAAUGCUCCUGACGAGCUGGUCGGGGCCUUGCAUAUGGCAGCCAAUCGCCGUCGGUGUGUGAGUGUGUGUAUGAAUGGGUGAAUGGAGAAGCAUCAAUUGUACAGCGCUAUAUAAAUGCCUGCCAUUUACCAUUUUCCAGAAUUUUUUACAUUUGCGGCCAACAGUGCCAUCUUGCUGUCACAACACCAAUUUUCGCCUUAACUGUGAAACGGAAUUUUCAGGGAUUUCCAGAGGGGCGGGUCUAUUUCGGUAGCAGACUUCGCUAAUUAAAGUAAGUCAUUCAGACAAGGAAGGUGAUAGGUAACAGUCGUAACUUCUAGGAUGGCACCGUUCCACGCUUAUCAGGGAAGCAGUCUGCAGCCAGAAAAUGAAAUGGAAUGGAGUGAUGAAGUCCUCCUCUUUGCUGCUGCUUUGCUUCUAAUCCUAAUGUUCGGCCUCUUGCUUAUACUGCAUUCCAACUGGGAAACCCUCAUGGAAGUCCUCCAAGGAAGAGAUGCACCAGAGCCCCACCUGUCAGUGGAGGAAACCAACCCUCUCCUUGGUCCAUACAUACCCACUUACGAUUAAGGAUCAGCUCGGAUUUGACAAUCCGAUACCAAAUACCCCCUCAGGACAAAUGAUGCAUUCUGAGUACUGUCUGUUUUCUCAGAAAAGGGCUCUAUGGCAUGAAGUGAACUGACCAGCAAUGACUACAGGAGUGGGUACAAUCCUCUGGCUGGAGCAUCAUGCUUGUUCUUCAAGGUUCCUGGGGUGCAGCUUGAGGUUCCCAGCACACAGCUCGAGAUUCACACCCUGUACCUCAUUGAACGUCAUUGCUUCGGGAAAACGGAGGCCCAUGGAAAACUCAAGACGUUUCUUAGCUGGCAUGUGAAGUGACCAAUCACGUUGGACUGACAAAGACCUCAUCCCUGUUGUUUACUUUGUUUUCUUGUGCAAUAUCCGUAAGAACACUGCAUUUAAAUUAAAUCUCUUUAUUUCUGUAGAA
Long non-coding RNA from Conger conger (European conger), 2051 nucleotides. RefSeq lists it as uncharacterized. The transcript is spliced from 4 exons. The record is from RefSeq and is a predicted model, not a curated record. Lineage: Eukaryota; Metazoa; Chordata; Actinopteri; Anguilliformes; Congridae.